This 519-nucleotide ribosomal RNA is filed under the name uncultured bacterium. RNAcentral's name for it is "bacterial SSU rRNA". It matches the Rfam family "Bacterial small subunit ribosomal RNA", at positions 638 to 1154 of the family's 1533-position model. The record is from RNAcentral.
AAAAUUGAGUACAGAAGAGGAGAACGGAAUUCCUGGAGGAGCGGUGAAAUGCGUAGAUUUCAGGGAGAACACCGAUGGCGAAGGCAGUUCUCUGGUCUGUAACUGACGCUGAGGUACGAAAGCGUGGGUAGCGAACGGGAUUAGAUACCCCGGUAGUCCACGCUGUAAACGAUGGACACUAGAUGUCGGGCAUAAGCUCGAUGUUGCAGCUAACGCGUUAAGUGUCCCGCCUGGGGAGUACGGUCGCAAGACUAAAACUCAAAGGAAUUGACGGGGGCCUACACAAGCGGUGGAGCAUGUGGUUUAAUUCGAUGCAACGCGAAGAACCUUACCUGGACUUGACAUUUCAAUGACCGCUAUGGAAACAUAGUUUUUCCGAUUUUAAUCGGAACAUUGAAACAGGUGCUGCAUGGCUGUCGUCAGCUCGUGUUGUGAGAUGUUGGGUUAAGUCCCGCAACGAGCGCAACCCUUACCCUUAGUUGCCAGCGAGUAAUGUCGGGGACUCUAGGGGAACUGCCC